This 2179-nucleotide long non-coding RNA is filed under the name Canis lupus familiaris (dog). Its description in RNAcentral is "lncRNA (ENSCAFG00805020541.1, ENSCAFG00845004414.1)". The record is from RNAcentral. Lineage: Eukaryota; Metazoa; Chordata; Mammalia; Carnivora; Canidae.
CUGCCUUUGGCUCAGGUCAUGAUGCUGGGAUCCUGGAACUGAGUCCCACGUUGGGCUCUCUGCAGGGAGCCUGCUUCUCCCUCUGCCUAUGUCUCUGCCUCUCUCUGUGUCUCUCAUGAAUAAAUAAAUAAAAUCUCUUUUAAAAGGACCCCCUUCUCUGUUUAAAAGUCUCUAAUUUUCUAAGUGACAUAUAGAAUUCUUUGUAACAUGGCUCACAUCUUCUAGGAUUUCUCAGUGCCUGUAACUAUUUCUGAAUAGUGCAAGCCUUGAAAAGAAUGCAUGGGGGCAAGCUCAUGGAUUGGAAGGAAGAGCUAAGCCAAGAAGUCCUAGAAAAGACUGGGACCAGAAGAUCUCCAAUGAUUCAGAGAAUAGGAAUUACAGGACAAACUCUUCAAGACCCUGUGGCUACGACAAACCCACUCCAAAACUUUUCCUUCACCCAUUCCAUUCAUGAUUCAAAUUCCUAGGAACUCUUCCCAUUUUCGUUUUUAUAGCUUGGUAGGGAUAUCAACCAAGAUAUCCCAAGUCCCUUGGAUAAAGAACAGUGACCAGAGCUUAGCCCACUUGAAUAAGGGCAGUACCAUUCUGAAGUCCAUGCAGGAAACAUCCUUGCCCUGGCCAUGUGCCCUACAGUCUUGCCACCAUAUGUCUUCCCAAGGAAUAAGAAAGCCAAAGGCUAAGGGCAUUUCCCCACCACAACCUACACCCCUCCCAGAAUGGACCAUUCUCUUGAUAACAAACCCUGGACUUCCCUGCCUAGUUAGUUCUCAGAGUCUUUUCUCACCAAGGCAGAUUGCAAAACAAAACCAGAAGGGACAUAAAGGCAGUUGUCCACUGACUUCAAUGUGCAGCUUAUGAGGUAUUCAUGCAAGUGCAAAAAGCCACUCACAGUGAGGGACCGAGGUGGGGGUAAGCACAGAAGUGGAGGACAGGCUGAGGAUAGGAAGCCAGGAGCCAGCUCUCCCCAUGCUGCCAUAUUUUGGCAAGGAGAUCUGAGAAGUCAGAAGGUUCUAAAUUUGAACUUGGCCUUCCAGAUCAUGAUGAAGACAGGAGGAUACUACACAUUUAAUAUAAUAGCUUAUGAAGCUCCUUUAUGAUUUUCAAUCUCCGUCUCUACUCUUACCUUGGAUCUUGUGGUGUUAUGGGAAGGUCUGUCAGAGACAUUAGGACGCUGCUAAUUAGGACACCCAUGAUGUGCACCUGCUGCCCAGAUUGUUCUCCCACACAUGUAUCUAGAGACCCCACCCCCACACACUCAGUCAUGCAGGCCCUCAGCUGAUCCUGCAAAUGCAUGAGCCUUCCAACUGGUGUCCUGCUUCCACUCUUGCCCUCUGGAUUCUUCUCCAUAGAGCAGCCAGAGGGAUCUGUUGAAACAUAACGGAUCAAGCCACAUUUCACUUUAAAAGCCUCCGGUGACCCCCAUCUGUCUCAGAGGAGAAGCCAAAGUCCUUUUCAUAUUUCAUAAAGGUUUACACAACUGACAUGUCCCAGCUCCCCCAGCCCCACUCUCUGACCCACAGUGCUCUGGCUGAUGUGCUCCAGCUGUCCCCCUGGUUGUCACUAGGACAUAUCAAGCCCAGCUGUUUCCCAGAAGUAUCUUGUGGAGGAAUUUACAUAGGACAAGGAGAUUAAAGUGGGAAGUUUGUUUUGCUUGUGCAUAUAUGUGUUCUGUUAUACAUGAAUUUUGACAUUUUUCUCGUAUUUGCAACUUUGCCACAAAAUACUGUGAAUGACUGUCCAUUUAUGGAUAUAUGUAUUCCUAAUUUUAAAAGAAAGUUCAGUAUUAUAUAAAGCACUCAUUCCUCAUUUCAUGGUAUUUAGGUGGUUUCCAUUGUGGCAACCAUACCACAGUGCACAUUCUUACAGAGGUCUCCCCCUACGUAUGUAUUUCUACAGACUGGUACCCUAGAAAGGAAAUAGAGGAUUCUAAGGGAAGGUAGACUUUAACCUACCAGUUCCCACUUUAAAAAGCCUCUUUAGGGGACGCCUGAGUGGCUCAGUCGGUUAAGCAUCUGACUCUUGAUUUUGGCUUAGGUAGUGAUCUCAGAGUCAUGAGAUCAAGCCGCACUUCCGGCUCCAUGCUGAGCAUGGAGAGAGCUUGAGAGUCUCUCUCUCUCUCUCUCCCCCUCCCUCUGCCCCUCCCCUCUACUCAUGUGUGCGUGCACUCGCUCACUCUCUU